GUGCCAGCAGCCGCGGUAAUACGUAGGGACCAAGCGUUGUUCGGAUUUACUGGGCGUAAAGGGCGCGUAGGCGGCGCGGUAAGUCACUUGUGAAAUCUCUGAGCUUAACUCAGAACGGCCAAGUGAUACUGCAGUGCUAGAGUGUGGAAGGGGCAAUCGGAAUUCUUGGUGUAGCGGUGAAAUGCGUAGAUAUCAAGAGGAACACCUGAGGUGAAGACGGGUUGCUGGGCCAACACUGACGCUGAGGCGCGAAAGCCAGGGGAGCAAACGGGAUUAGAUACCCCGGUAGUCC
Molecule: ribosomal RNA, 292 nt
Filed under: uncultured bacterium
Lineage: Bacteria
Description: partial 16S ribosomal RNA
Rfam family: Bacterial small subunit ribosomal RNA
Source: RNAcentral